RNAcentral lists this ribosomal RNA (509 nucleotides) under uncultured bacterium. RNAcentral's name for it is "bacterial SSU rRNA". It matches the Rfam family "Bacterial small subunit ribosomal RNA", at positions 30 to 527 of the family's 1533-position model. The record is from RNAcentral.
AUUGAACGCUGGCGGCAUGCCUUACACAUGCAAGUCGAACGGUAACAGGUCUUCGGAUGCUGACGAGUGGCGAACGGGUGAGUAAUACAUCGGAACGUGCCCGAUCGUGGGGGAUAACGGAGCGAAAGCUUUGCUAAUACCGCAUACGAUCUACGGAUGAAAGCAGGGGACCGCAAGGCCUUGCGCGGACGGAGCGGCCGAUGGCAGAUUAGGUAGUUGGUGGGGAUAAAAGCUUACCAAGCCGACGAUCUGUAGCUGGUCUGAGAGGACGACCAGCCACACUGGGACUGAGACACGGCCCAGACUCCUACGGGAGGCAGCAGUGGGGAAUUUUGGACAAUGGGCGCAAGCCUGAUCCAGCCAUGCCGCGUGCAGGAUGAAGGCCUUCGGGUUGUAACUAGCUUUGUUACGGUAACGAAAAGACUACUUCUAAUAAAGAGGGUCCAUGACGGUACCGUAACGAAUAAGACACCGGCGUAACUACGUGUCCAGCAGCCGCGGUAAAACCG